GUGGGGAAUCUUGCGCAAUGGGCGAAAGCCUGACGCAGCCAUGCCGCGUGAAUGAUGAAGGUCUUAGGAUUGUAAAAUUCUUUCACCGGGGACGAUAAUGACGGUACCCGGAGAAGAAGCUCCGGCUAACUUCGUGUCAGCAGCCGCGGUAAUACGAAGGGGGCUAGCGUUGCUCGGAAUUACUGGGCGUAAAGGGCGCGUAGGCGGACAGCUUAGUCAGAGGUGAAAGCCCAGGGCUCAACCUUGGAAUUGCCUUUGAUACUGGCUGUCUUGAGUGUGGGAGAGGUGAGUGGAACUCCGAGUGUAGAGGUGAAAUUCGUAGAUAUUCGGAAGAACACCAGUGGCGAAGGCGACUCACUGGCCCAAUACUGACGCUGAGGCGCGAAAGCGUGGGGAGCAAACAGGAUUAGAUACCCCUGUAGUCC
This 425-nucleotide ribosomal RNA is filed under the name uncultured bacterium. RNAcentral describes it as "partial 16S ribosomal RNA". It matches the Rfam family "Bacterial small subunit ribosomal RNA", at positions 354 to 796 of the family's 1533-position model. The record is from RNAcentral.